CAUUACUCUCUUCGGGCAUAUCACACAGAAAGUGGGACGGGGACACCCAAAGGGUUCAAUUUUGAACGGUGGUAGGUGAGUAAGGUUCCCUACUAGAAAGGAGAGGGCAAGUUGGGGCUAGCCGCCGCGGUAAAACCAGCUCUUCAAGUGGUCGGAAUAAUUAUUGGGCUUAAAGUGUCCGUAGCCGGUUUGGAAAGUUCCUGGUAAAAUCGGGUAGCUUAACUAUCUAUAUGCUAGGAAUACUACUAUACUAGAGGGGGGGGGAGGUCUGAGGAACUGCAGGGUUAGGGGUGAAAUCUUAUAAUCCUUGUUGGACCCCCAGUGGCGAAGGCGUCAGAUUGGAACGCGCCUGACGGUGAGGGACGAAAGCCAGGGGGAGCGAACCGGAUUAGAUACCCGGGUAGUCCCGCUGUAAACGAUGCAGACUCGCUGAUGAGUUGGCUUAUGCUAACUCAGGCCGCAGGGAAGCCGUUAGGUUGCCGCUGGGAGUACGGCGCAAGAUGAAACUUAAAGGAAUUGCGCGGAAAGGCGAUUCGUUUAACUGCAGGAUAGUCCUUAGUGAGGGUAUUCUACUUGCGUAUCAUGUCUAGUGUUCCGAACUUAGUGGUUAUCUGACUAGCGAAUCAGGCUGCUUACAGGACGCUUAAUUC
Molecule: ribosomal RNA, 650 nt
Filed under: uncultured archaeon
Lineage: Archaea
Description: bacterial SSU rRNA
Rfam family: Archaeal small subunit ribosomal RNA
Source: RNAcentral